ACACAUCGAUCCCUACUUUCCUAAAUUUUUUAAAAAACAUUAAGUAGUAAAUCAUUACAUAACAUUGUCCUACAAAUCAUAGUUGUUAUAUAUUAUCAAUUCAUUAAUUUGAAACAUACAUAAAUUCCCAAAAAUUUUAAAAUUUAGAAAACAAAGACUAUAGUACUUAUGAACUCAUUGACGACUAGUGGGUUGUGUUCUCUUUGUUAUUUUGAAGUCUCUAUCUCUUAUCACUUUUCAAAAACUUAUUUUUUGCUUCUUACUUGAAGAUUAGGCAUGAAGCAUUUUCAAAGACGAAAAUACAACUAAAUCAAGAAGGGAAUAAGAAGUGAUGAAGGUUUUCCAGGGUUUUCAUUCUUUACCUCUAAAAGAGAAAGGAAAAUUUUGAUGGUUUGAAUUAAGAGAGAGAUAAGAAGUGAGAGAGGUUUGUUACAAUUUUCAAAGGGGUUUCUAUUCUCUACAUUUGAAACUAAACGACGAAGAAGAAUUUGAAGGGUGAUUGAUUUCAAAAAGUGAAGAAGUUGAAAGUGCAGAAAAUAGCUUGGAGUUUCACACAAGAGUAAUAACGGUGUAUUCCAAGGAAACAAAAGAAAAAGGGGUUUUUUGUCCUACAAGGAUCAUUUUUAAUAUUUUUAAAGCAAGGGGUUAAUUUUGCAAAUAUAGAUGUUAUAACAACCCUUUUAACCAAAUAACCCUUUCAUGAACAUGUCUCAAACUCCGAUAUGAGAUUUUUUUAACUUCCUAGAGCACAUUAAAAAAUUUGACACCAAGAUGAUAAUCUUUAAAAGCUUGAGGAAUUGAGGAUUCCAAUGGACACCCCCUAAACCCAAGCCAAACACAUGUAUCUUCCUUUACUCCCUCAAAGGAUAGGACAUCUCCUUGAAAGAUAUUACAAUCUUAAAUAAUAAUAAUAAUAAUAAUAAUAAUAAAAUAAAAGUAGUCUUAGUGACAAGGAGAUUGAAGUUUUUGGAUUUCAAAACAUUAUUGAUGAGAAUGGUUUGUUAAUUUUGAGAUUCGAAGAACAAUAGCAUAAGUAUAAUAUUAAUAAUAAAAAAUAAAAAUAAUAAUAAAAGGGUUUAAACUAUAUGUUUAUAUAUUUUUGUAAUAUAAACACAAAUUUGGUUAUUAUAGAAAGUUUUAACAUUAUGAAUUCCUUUUCAAAGUAAAUAAAAUGUAUAAAAAGCAUAAUAUUCCUUUGAAUACUUAUUAGAACAUAGUUCAUAAUCAAUAAGAUGAUGAAAUAAAGAUCAUGUCUAGUUUACACAUCAUGCGCAUAAAUCACUUACAUAACUCAUAUUCAACUUCUCAUUCAAAUAUGCAAAGCACACUCAACUUGCAAAAUUUAUGAUUUAAGAUGAUUCAAAAUAUAAGAAUAGGAUUAACAUUCAUAUUGUAAUUAAUAAUCUUUGGAAUUGUAGAAUGAACUACACAUUAUGUUUUAGAUGCAAAAUUAUAGAUUGAUUUUCGAGUUACCUUACCUGAAAUCCCCACUUCAAAAUAAUUUAUGUUCCUUCCAAUUUAGUGAUAAAACUUCUUCACAAUUUCCAAGAGUUCAUAAUUCCUAAGGAUAAAUAUACACCUAUGCUAGCCAAAUUAAAGGAAUAAUUAUAGUGGAUCCUCCACAUUAUAGUUCAAUCAUCUACUAGUUCUUAAAUGUUUAGCUCAAAGUAAGUUAUUUCAAAUCUUUCCACCCUUUAUGACAAUGGAAGGAAUUGGACUCAGUUUUUCCAAUCAUAUAUUGCUCUAGACUAGCGGCAACAAUUUUGCUUCACAUACUCAAUUCAAGAACAACUCAAUAAAGCUAGAAUAAGUAUCUUCAAUAGAAACUACACACAAACAAAUGUUCAAUCUCAAUUUAUCAUUCAAUAUUAUCUUUUGAUUAUCUUUUUGCAGGCUUAAACUCAUAUUUUUAUUUUGAAUUUGCCAAUCCACUUUUGACCAAUGAGAUUUUAUGUUUUAUUUCCAAAGCUAUGGAUGUUUCUAAUGACAACUCAAAACUCUAUCAACUUUCUUUGUGCGACUAUGUCAAAUAUGAAAACCCUUAUUUUAUUUAUUUACUUUUUUUUUUAAUAGGUAAAUCAAUUGUAUUAGAAGUGCCUAAUGUAGGGUACACAAAAGUGUACAUUAUGUAUACAAGGUACUAAAGACAAAAAAAGAAGAGGUAUACAUAAAAAAACACCCUCGCCUCACUUACAAUCCAGCCAAACAAUAAAAUCAAAUAAUGACAAUGAGUUAAAACCCAAAUGCACCGUAAAGAGGGGAUAAACAAAAAAUAACACUCUCGCCUAAAUUACAAACCAGCCAAACAAAAUCAAAUAAUGACAAUGAGAUAAAACUUAAAUGCACUCUAACCCAAUCCAAGAACAUGUACAUAAAGGACCGCAUAAUUACUUGGCCUGCCAUUUCAGAAUCAUCAAAGGCUUUCUAAUUUCACUACUUCCAAAUGGCCCAAAAUAAGCACAAAGAAGUUUCUCUCCACAAUUGCUUUUCUUCCCUACAAAAUCUCCAUACCAACUAAGAAGGGCAUCAUUGAUUGAAGGUGGCUGCACCCACUUAACACCAAAUAGAGCAAAAAUAAGCUACUAAAGCAUUGCUACUUUAGGGUAAUGAAGGAUGAUAUGAUUUGUUGAUUCCUUUUCUCCUUUAAAAAACAACACCUGCUCCACAAAUAUCAACCCCCCAAAAAUAAGCUACUAAAGCAUUGCUACUUUAGGGCAAAGGACAACUCAAAUAAUUUGCCAGCCUUUGUGUCAGCCAUAUUGAACCAUAAAGACCAAACACCUUAUUUUAAUGUCAACUAUCUACGCUCAAGAUUCUCCAUAAAUUAGGAGCAUAUUUAUUUUGUAGCCAUGAUAUGUUUUUAUGACACAUUUAAUUGGUUACACUAAAUUUCAGUACUUCCUGACAUCUCCAAAGGUGUUAUGUAAUUACGAACAAGAAAAAUGGAAGGGGGACUGCAUUCCACUUCAAGAAUCUAACUUCAGCAAAAGAACCGACGUUUUGGCACAUCAGGAAGUUCUAUAACAGGAACCUAGUGUAUGGUUGACUGAACAACACAGAAUUGAAAAACCGAAUUACUGAAUCCACUAACAGAAAACUGUACCUUAAAUUAUGUUCUUUGUUGCACCAAAAAUUGCAUAUUUCCAGUUAGAAAAAGAACCCAUUUAUUACAGCUUCAGGAAAGAAAAAAGAAUCACAUGCUAGUUUGUAUGCUAUGAGGUACAACUAAAGAACAAGGUGAAAAUGUAAGCCAUCCUUGAUGUGAAGAUUGUAUGAUAGCGAUAGAGAGCACGCCUGUAAACAGUCAUGUUCCUCACAUGAAUGCUGACAAGCAUGCUCUCUCUCGUUGUCAAGCAAUUAUAUGUCAAAGUUGAAUUAAACAUCUGCAGAACAAUGGAACGCACUAAGAAAUAUGGUAGCAAACAAAUAUUAAACUGAAAAUUUUCUGAUAACCAUGGUUUGCUCGCCAAGGUAAUGGACUAUAACAUAAAGAUGCUUUAGAACCUCAAAAUGCAAUAAGCUGUCCAAAGCCUGCAAAAUUGUUUUCAGCAAAACAAACACCAUUCCAUGCUCCCUUCCCGAAAAUCCCCAAAAAUUAGUAGGAACACCUUUAACCUCAAAGUGAUUGAGCUCCCUUAUUCAUCUUAAAAGCCCAAGUCUUUCUAGACUCAAAUUUAAAAAUGAUAUCUGUAUCAACAACAAAAAGAAUAAAAAUAAGUAAACAAAUACACACAAUUAGUAAAAUCCAACAACAUAAGAAGUACACCCAGAUUUUUCCAGCAUGAAAUUUCAAAUAAUAAAUAGAUUGCACAUCGAUAAAUUAGACAGGUAUAGCAAACAAAGAGUUUAACCAAAUUGCCACUGUUUAUAAAUUUUUUUCUAAGCAGCAACAGCACCUUUACAAACACAAGAUCAAACACUUGAAAACAGAGACAGAUACUACUCUGAAGAUGGACACCACAAUAAGCUUAACACUAGACUUCAGAAGCCCAUCUUUAGCUUUCUCUUUUAGAAAAUUGAAAUUCAUCUUUUCUACUAAGGGAAAUAACAACAAAAGGAUGAAGGAAAAAGAACAUACCAACCUUAAUAUGCAUGAUAAGAUGAGGUGAAUCUUUCCCAAAUAAGCAUAUUAUUGGACUGUUAAGCUUCAUACCUUGGUUUAUCAUCGAAUUGACAGAAUUCCAAGGUAAAUAACCUAAAUCGGAUAUAUAUUAUCAUUGAUUUCAAAAACAAGCAAGAAAAAAGAUAGAUCUCUGAACCAUGAAACCUCAAAUCUAGCAAGAAUCACUACCAAAAGAUUAAAACAAAUACACAAUCCAAAUAUUUGUAAAAAAGCAACAAAGACAUUAUUAAGCUGCAAGUUUGUCCAUCACUCUCAUUAAAAAUGUAAAACAAGAACAUUUACUCACCAAAAAUGCCACUGGCAGCGAACUCAACAUCUUCCAAGCAUGAAAUCUGAAAACCUGGCCUGAAUCAUCAGCAUCACAAAUUGAAAGCAUAAUGCCUAACUCAAAUUCCAUAUAAGUAAAAUAAGGAGCAGCUGAUAAAAAAAAUGUCAUUUAAAAUAAUACCUGGGAAACCCUAACCCUCUGUUUGGUUGCUGAGAGCACUAAGUAAAACGCAUGAAAAUAAAAUGUUAAAUUAGAUGUUUUAUUCCGUUUUAGUUUCACAAAAAGCAAACCAAACAUCAACCAAGCGAAAUAGAUGCAGUCCCCUCAACUAUGAAAAGAUUCAUUUCCUUUUGGGUUCCAACCAAUGAAAAACCACUCAUAUGCAAUCAAACUUUUUCUUUCUUUUCCUUUCCUUCCCUCCAUCUUCUCCACAACCAAACACGGUAAAGUAGACUCAAGCAUGCACUUCAAUAGAACUAAAGACAACACACAAAUGCCCAAAAAAAAAAAAAAAUCAUAAAAACUAAAACCAAAAUAAAUCCGGUGAAUUGAAAACCAUGAACUCUGACUCCUAGAUCUACCACCAACAAAAAUUCAAACUGAAAACACAAAAAAAAAAAAAAAAAAAAAGAAAUCCAGAAAAAAAAAAAAAAGAAAAGUAACAGGUCUUAGGAAUAUCAUCCCCUUCAUGAUUGUUUUUAGUUUGCUCCAUCUUUAGUUCACUUUCAGCUUGUUUUCAGUUUGUUUCUUGCAUAUCUUUUGUUUGUUUUAAUUGCUACUUUAGUGGAUCUUUUUGUUUGAGCCAUUUUCCUGUUGUUAGUAGAGUUAAAUCUUAAGUUUCAGUUACUUUAUUGUUCUAGGCAGUAGUUAGGGGUGUUUUCUUGGAGAAUCAAGGCCUCACCUUAGAUUUUUCUAACCUCAUUGAUAAGCAAAGUCCAAGUUAGCUUAUUAGCAACUUCUAUUCCAUAUAAAUGAAGCUGUGUUGGGGUGUGUAAGGAGUAAGGGAUAGUUCUUGAACACUUAAGGGUUCUAUAGUUCUCUCUCACAUACACUUUGCACACUACUUCUUGGUUUUAAGCUGCUGAGUUAGACUUUUAACAGUUGUGAAAGACUCCAAAUAAACUGCAUUUAGUCUUAGGAAGUGAAUAAGAUGCUACUCAGGUUCAAAGAGAGUGUCAAGGUCUCUUCUCCUAAAGCAAGAAUCAAGGAUCAACAAUGUUUUGCCAGAAAUAUUUCUCUCUAUCCUUGCUGCAUCCCUUCCUACUGAUUCUGUUGCUUCCCUAUUCAUCUCAACAAUAUUUUCUUAGACAGAUUCACCAAUCUCAAUUGCUUUAGGAUUUUCUAAUUUGUUCAGGUCCUUCAGAAGCAAUUUCUUUCUCAGCAUUUUCAGUAUUAAUUUCCUCAAUCUCCCUUUCAAUUGGUGGAUCAGUUUCCAUGGCAGCAUCUUUCUCAGUUUCAGCAGUGAUUUCCUCAUCCCUCUGCUCAGCUUUCUCAUUAAUUUGCUCAACAGCAUUCUUCUAUGUAGGCUCAGACUCUUCUCUACCCUGCUCUUCAGUUUCCUCUCCUUCAACUUCAUCAUUAAUUCUUCCACUUGGCUUCUCCCCCAUCAGCAUGAUCACAGAAGUGAUCCAUACCUCCUCAAAAAUAGUCCUGAUCAUCACCAUCAUCAUUGGAAGGAGGAUGAGAUGUAUUAGCAGCUUUCAUCAUUCAAUAAUUCAUUAAAGUUAGGAUCUGGUUUUUAACCCCCUCAUUGAUCGUGUUCUCAUUGAUCUCCAAGUCUUACAUUUUCUUGUGUACACCCCCCAUUGAAAAUUUCGAAGGCAUUAAGCUUUUCUUCCACAAAUUAGGUAUUUGGGGUCAUUUCCUUACAUUUUCUCCUACAACUAACUCAGCUUCAUGUCACGAACUUAGGUAUUUCUUAAGCUCACGUGCAACACUGAGACAACCCAAGAUUCUUUAAGUUGCUAACUUAACCCUACCCCAAGCUUAGCUCAUGAUGCCAAGCAAAGCUACUUGACUUUGAAGCUAAGAUACACAAUUGUAUUAAACAUGAAUAGAAUUUGGUAAGAGUUGAAUUCGUACUAAGAUUAUGAAUGGAAAAAUGUGGAAGAUAGUGUGUUGUUUAAGACAAUUCAAGAGAAGGAUAAGGUCACUGAAUUUUUAGAAGGUUUGAAUCCGGAACUUGAUCAACAAAAAGUGGAGUUUUGGGGAAGGAGCCAAUCCUGUCCAUAAGAAAACUCUUUGCCACAAUCAGGAAAAAAUAAAGAAGAAAGAAGACUCCAAUUGUUGAUGAAAAAGUCAAAUUCUCAAUCAACCACAGGGAAUAAAAUGCUGGAAUAUUAAGCACUUUCUGUUCACAAACCUGAAGCUGUUGUUUUUGGAGGACCGAGGUAUAGAAGUGAUGAAAAAGAUAAGCUGUGUUGUGAUCAUUGUCACUGAUCACGUCACAUUUAUGAUAUGUGCUGAAAGCUUCAUGGGAGGCCUCAAAAUUGGAACAAAAACAAUAGAAGGCAAGGUAGCAGUGGUCAUUAUUUUUCUAAAAUUUUCAUUAUUAAUUUUAAAAGUUCUUAAGCUUUAUAACUAGUGUAUUGUGUAUAUUACACAAUACCAAUCCAAUAUCAAUCUACCUUGGAACUUGCCUUGAGCAAAAAUAAGCUUUGCUUUGGGACAGUGAAGGUGGAUAUGAUUUUCUGAUUCCAACCCCUCCCUUUUAGCUGAUCCAAAGUUAAUUCUUCCCUAUGAAGGUUCCCAAGCCAAAAAGCCAACCCUCCUUGAGGACACAAGGGUUCCACACAAUGCCUCAAGGGAACACAUUGAGUCUACAGAUAGGGGUGAGUAAUAGGAUUUAGCUAUAAAGAUGUCUCCCUUUGAUACCUACCAAACCAUGAAAUCAUCAAAAACCCCUUCUAAUUGUGUGCCUUUGCAACCUUCUUUCCAUCUCUCCCAUCUCACAACCAAUAUUUUUUGAAAAAUGCAAGUUAAAGAUUCCUCAGUUAUCAUGCAUUUUUUUCUUUCACACAUUCACAUUGUUGUGUCAUAUUGUUGCCAACAACUAGCACGAUAUUUCAAGCUUGCUCCUAACAUCUCCAACAUAUACACAAACCAUAGUUCAAGUUUUAGCUGAAACUGAUCAUCACCAACUUUGGCGAGGGGAGAUAUGGAACCAUGUCUUAAUACAAGGAUAUGCAAGUGAAUUCUGUUAAUGCAAAGUUCAAAGCAAUGUAUAAAUAACAGAUUAGUUUUGACACUUUGGCAAAGGAAAACUCAAAUAAUUUGCCAGCCUUUGUGUCGGCCAUAUCGCACCAUAAUGACCAAAGACCUUAUUUUACUGCAUUCCACUUCAAGAAUCUAACUUUAGCAAAAGUACAGCCUUUUGGCAUGUCAGGAAGUUCUAUAACAGGAACAUUGCGUAUGAUUGACUGAAUAACAAAGAAUUGAAAAACCGACUUACUGAAUCCACCAAUGGAAAACCAAACCUUAAAUGGUGUUCUUUGUUGCACCAAAUACUGCAUAUUUCCAGUUAGAAGAACCCAUUUAUUACAGCUACAGGGAAAGAAAAAAGAACCACCUGCUAGUUGGUAUGGUAUGAGGUCCAACACUCAGAAAUAAGGUAAAAAUGUAAGGCAUCCUUGAUGAGAAGAUUGUAUGACAGCGAGAGAGAGCACACCAGUACACAGUCAUGUUACCUCACAUGAAUGCUAACAAGUGUGCUCUCUCUCUUUGUCAAGCAAUUGCAUGUCAAAGCUUGAACUAAACAUCUGCAGAACAAGGAAACAUGCUAAGAGAAUAUAGUAGCAAACAUAUAUUAAACUGAGAAUUUUCUGAUAACCAUGGUUUGCUCACCAAGGUGAUGGACUAUAAUGUAAAGAUGCUUUAGAAUCUCAAAAUGCAAUAAGCUGUCAAAAGCCUGCAAUUUUUUUUUUUUGCAAAACAAACACCAUCCCAUGCUCGCUUCCCCAAAAUCCCCUAAUAUCGACAGAAACCAAAGAGAGCAUAAGCAAGUCCUCGAAAAUUAGUAGGAACACCUUUAACCUCAAAGUGAUUGAGCUCCCUUAUUCAUCUUAAAAGCAGCAAAAGAACAUCCACUAACCCAAAGUCUUUCUAAACACAAGACCACAUGCAUCAAAACAAAAACAGAUCAAUACCACUCCAAACGCAUGGACAUCACAACAAGCUUAACACUCUACUUCAGAAGCCUAGCUAUAGCUCUUUCUUUUAGCAAAUUGAACUUGGAGCUUUCUACUAGAGGAAUAGUCACAAAAAAAUCAAGGAAAACCAACAUAAAAACCUUAACUAGCUCCCUAUUUCUCUGCAACUAACAACAAGCAAGACAAAAAACGGCACAGAAAAAUAAUCCAACAGUUAAAUUUUGAUAUAUAAGAGGAAGUAGUAUCACAUGCAUGAUAACAUUGAAAUAAGAGGUGAAUCUACCCCUGAUAAGCCUAUGAUUGAACUGUUAAGUUUCUUAAGUAGGUAUAUCAUCAAAAACCUAAAGCAAUAUCUANNNNNNNNNNNNNNNNNNNNNNNNNNNNNNNNNNNNNNNNNNNNNNNNNNNNNNNNNNNNNNNNNNNNNNNNNNNNNNNNNNNNNNNNNNNNNNNNNNNNUCUAUUGUCAUUGAUUACAAAACUAAGCAAGAAUCACUACCAAAAUAUAAAAACAACCAUCUGAAACUGCCAGAAGCAUAAAAAUUUUUCCACAAUUAUUGAUUUUAAAACAAAUAUAAAACCCAAAUAUUGGUAUGAAAGCAACUAAGGCAUUAUUAAAAUGCAAGUUUUGGAGUCUAUCAUUCGUUAAAUUGUAAAACCGAAACUUUUCCACAGCAAAAAGCCACUGGCAGCAAACCCAACAUCUUCCAAGCCCGAAAUCUGAAAACACGGCCUCAAUCAUGGGUAUAACAAAUUGAAAAGCAUAAUAACUAGUUCCGACUCCAAAAGCAUAAUAACUUUUUCUUUUCCUUUCCUUUCCUUUCCUUUCCUCCAUUUUCUCCGCAAACAAACACGAUAUAGUAGACUCAGGCAUGCACUUCAACAGAACCAAAAACAGCACACGAAAUGCAGAAAACUAAUAAAAAGUUACAUCAGAAUAGAUCAAAUGGACAAUACCAUGCACUGUGAUUCCCAGAUCUACUACCAACAAAAUCUCAAAACUCAAAACCCAUAAAACAAAAAAAAUAAAAAAUAAAAAAAUAAAACAAAAAAAAGCAACAGAAACACCAAAAAUAACAACAAUAAUUGGGAAGAUGAUCACCUUCAUCAUCAAAUACAGAUGACCAUUCUGAAGAAAUACACAGAGAGAAUGAAAAUUUUUCAGGAGAUUUCAGUGCCAUUUUAUAGCAAGAGAAAAAACAGACAUGGUGGAAACCUAGAGUGCAAACGAAGGGUCAACUGCAGAAGAAAGACAAAAAAAUAAAAUAAAUAAAAGGAUAAAUUAAAAAACAUUAUUUUGAUUUGUGAAAGGGAUGAGGUACCAUUUUCAUAUCCACCUCUUUUUUCGACCUUAUGUUGACUGCUCCCGUCUUUUCCGCCCUACAUGUUGAGUCUUCGACAGCCAUAAAUCAUCCAUGUAGCCUGCCACCUUUAUAUGUACCACAUUUGGUUCAACGCUUCCAACUUCUCCUAAGUCCUAAUAUGGUGACGAGUUAGCCUAUGAAAAACAAGAAGUACUGCUUUUAUUAUUGUUGUUAUUAGGAUAAAAAAUUAAUAAUCCAAUUGUUCGCUUUAGUAUUAUAAUAUUAAUAAAUGUAAAUUCACUGAGAAGUGAGCCCCCGUGGCUGCUGUUCUACCACACAUAAGUGGAUUGGUGCGGGUGAAAGUUUCGAGGAAUAAUAAAAUAAAAUAACAAACAGAGUGGAUAGAACAAUAAAAUAAAAAAAUAAUAUUAGAUUUUUUUUUUUCAAACAAUUGGAAAAGAAAAAAUUAUCGAUCAAUGCAUUUUCUUUAUUUUUUAUUUUUAUUUGAGAAAAAUAUACCGAAAAUCUUUUACUAUUUUCUCUCAUUUGUUAAUUACUUGAACUACUUCUCUCCUAACCAAUUUCUCAGCAUAAAAUAACACUCCAUUUGUAAAAAUAACCCUCAUCCUUCAAAAAACUUAAAAAUGUCCCUAAACAAGUUUCUUUUAUUUUCAUCUUACUCUUUUAUUUAUUUUUUCUAAUAAAGAAAGUUGAGCUUCUCUCAUUUACUCUUCAUUGCUAAAAUAAGUUAAAAGAGGCUAAUAAUCAACAUUAUUUUUUCUUCUCAUUUUCAUUAUUUAUGUUUUCUUCUUCCAUGAUAAAAAACAAAUCUAAAAACCUUACCUAUUAUUAUUACAGACUAAAAAGAGGAACUUCUCACUAUUAGCUAUGAAAAAUGACAUCAAAAGUCAAAUAAUAGUAGGCAAUGAAUCUCAUGUAUGGAAAAUCAUGUUAAUUUCAACAUUGUUAAUGAAAAAUGACAUCAAAAGUUAAAUAAUGAUAAACAAUGAAUCUCAUAUAUGAAAAAUCAUAUUAAUUUCAACAUUAUUAAUCAAUUCUUAAUGAAAAUAUUCAAAUUUAAUUUAACUGUGAUCGAGUUUCAUUUAUAAAGACUUAAUUGGAGUUAAGUUUUCAAUCGAAAUACUUACCUAGGUUUAACCAUGGUUAAGCUUUAUUUGUGAAGAACUUAACUAAGGUUAAGUUUUUAUUCACUUGAACUUAAUUAAGAUUUAGUUUUAUUCACAAAUAACUUAACAAGAGUUCAAUUCUCAAUUAAAAUAUUUAGCUAGACUUAACUAUAAUUGAAUUAUAAUUUAUGAUAAACUUCAAAGUUAAGUCAUCAAUAAAAAUAUUCAUUUGAAUUUAAAAUAUGGUUGUUUAAAUUUCAUUUGCAAAUAACUAAUAGAUUAUUGUAGACCCCCAUUUAGGCAUGAGUCACUUUUUCUCUAUUUGUUUUUGUAGAUCACAUUUUUAGCCAGGUGCCACUAUCCCAGCGGGCCACGUGUCACAUCCCUAAUGGCCAUAAGGAAUCAACCUCGCUUUUUGAAGCUGCAGUAGGACUUUGACACGUGGAGGAACUUCUUGCAGAAGGAGUGGGACAGAAAGGUGGCUGCAGAAGGAGUAGGGCAGAAAAAGGUGGCUGCAGGAGGAGUAGGACAGAAGAAGGUGGCUGCGGCAGAGAUCGUUGGGAAGACAAAUCUGAAAAACGAGAGGAGGUUGGCAGAAAAAAAGAGAGGAGUUUUUCUGAGAGAUCAAGAAAAAAAAAAAAAAAAGGAGGAAGAGAUAGAGGAGUUUUUUUUGGGGAGUUUUGAAGGGAAAAGAGAUAGAAAAAGGAAAAGAAUUUGGAAGGAGAGAGAGGAGAAAGAAGAAGAGACAAAAAGAAAAAGGAGGAAGGGAAGGGAGGAGAGUUUAGCCAGAGACGCUUAGUUGGAGAAGGGGCUUUCAGGUAUGAUUAUCACUCUUUUACACCUCUUGUGAAUAUUUGAAUACUCAUAGAUCUGUUUGGGGUGGAUAAUGAAGGCCACCAGUCUGCUUGUUGAAGUAUGACCCUGCAUUUGUGUUUGCCAUUGUCCAUUUUAACUUGCUAUGAUCCUACUGUGAUUAUGAAAUGCUUGAGAUUCAUGAGGGUGGUUGCAUUUGAUAUGGUUUACCCACCUGCUCAAAAGAUUCAUGGAUGAUUCAUGAAAUGGAUUUUCUGAGAUUUUUCUUUAUUUAUUCGUCUUCUUUCACGCUCUGUUUCUCUACUUCCCCUGUUUCUUGAUAUUCGUCCAUGGUACGCAUCCAUUUUCCCAUCCUUGCUCGAAAGAGAUCCUAGAAAAUCUGAAGUAGUUGUCAUGGCAGCAAAGCUCACCUCAUCAGCAUCCCCAUACCCAUCGUUCAUCUAUCCACCACUCUCUCUAGGUCAUCAUACCCAUUUCCUCACUUAAGCUCGCAGGAAUUAAGCAUCCUCCACUAUACCCAUCUUCCUCUCAUUCAUUCUCCAUCCCACUCUCUCGCUUACAUGGAGUCUCACGGGUGCAUGCCAUCCUUCACUCCUUCACAUACCCAUUAAAACCACUCACCCAAGCCCCCAUAUCCAUACAACCCAUACCUAUCCUUCAUGCUACUCAUAACCACAUUUUACCUAAUCCGGAUGUCUCACAUUCGGAAUUCCUCCCCGCCAACAUUCUAUCCGGACAUCUCGCAUCCGGAAUUCUCCUCAGCCAACAUUCCAUCCGGACAUCCCACAUCCGGAAUUCUCCUCCGCCUUCAUUCUAUCCGGACAUCUCGCAUCCGAAAUUCUUCUCCGCCGACAUUCCACCCGGAUGCCUCACAUUCGGAAUUCUUCUCCCGCCGACAUUCCACCCGGAUGCCUCACAUCCGGAAUUCCAUCCGGCCAACGUUCUACCUUAUCUGGAUGUCUCACAUCCGGAAUUCUUCUCCGUCGACAUUCCACCGGAAUAUCUCACAUCCGGAAUUCUCCGCCGACGUUCCACCUUCUCCGGAUAUCUCACAUCCGGAAUUCUGUCCGGUCGACGUUCAACCUUCCUCGGAUAUCUCGCAUCCGGAACUCUGUCCGGCUGACGUUCCACCUUUUUUUCUUCAUCCUUAGAGCAUUUUCUUUAGGUCCCAAAAUCACAUUUUUAAUAAAGCUUUACUACCACUUUUAUUUCUGGCAAGCAAUUUUCAUACUUCCUCUGUUUUUAAAAUGUUUUGAAAUAAGCAAGGAAUCAAAUUCCGUAAUUCCGAACAAUGGAGUUAUCGGAAUUGAUUUAGGCAAGAUAAAACGGGCUUUGGUGGGGGCCCCACAUAUGUGACUGAUCGAUUGAUUGACUGACUGAUUGACUUGAAUUACCAUGCGUGAUUGAUUUUAUUUUGCUCUAUGACAUGCUCGAAAUUAUUUCUUAAUUGUGCAUUAACCUCACUUUUUGAUAAGCUUAUUGUGGCUCGUCGCCCAGGUACGUAUCUAUUCCCAUUAUGGUAUUUCUAUAUGCAUGCUUUGAUUCUCAUAUGUGCACGAUAGUUCCGGGUAUUCAUUGAUUUCCUAAUUAAUCGCCAUGAUUGCUCCAUUUUAUUAGUAGAGACCCAUUUUAGGGACUUAGAGGGGUGCUACGGUCUUUACCGUACCUUCCUGAUAAGUAACCUGACCCUCGAACCCUAUCCGGUUUUUUGCAGAUCACCUUUUCCAAAUAAGGAGUCACACUUAGGGUUUUUCUUUCUUAUUUUGUUUACCCUUUUAAAAAUAAAACAAAAAUAAGUGGCGACUCCAAGUCAAUUUUCUUUUUCAAUCAAUUAAAUCAUUUUUCAAAUAAAAAAUCGAGCUUGCCAUUCGAGUGGGAAACGCAUUGAGCCGAAAUGCGGGGUCCACAAUUAUGUUCAUAUUUAAGUUAAAAUUCUAAAUUUAAAAAUUUUAUGUGGACUUGAUUAUGGUUUUUAUUUAUAAAGAACUAUAGUUAAGAUGUACUUAUGAAGAGCUACUAAAUUAAUUUUUGCAAAUCAAACUAUUAACCUAAAAUUUGAUUAUGUAUAACAAUAUACAAAGUGUUAAUAACAAAAUAUAUAAUAUUCUAAUCAAAAUGUUCACUUGGUUUGAAAAUAUGUUUUUACCAUAUCAAACUAUGUUAAAAAAAAUUAAAAUUUCGAAUACAAAGUAAAAUUCCUUCAAAUUAAGAGUCAAUCCUCAACAAAAUAUGAACUCAUUAUAUCAGCAAAUUUUGAAAGCAAAACAAUUGCCUUGUCAUUUUCUCUUAAAACCAAUUUACACGAACAUUUAUUAAUGAACUAGAUAGAUAGCCAUACAUAAAUUAUUCUCUGUAUUUGAUUAAGAACAUUUCAUAAUCACAUUGCAUAAAAAAUCAACAAUCAAAAUUAAGAUUAUUAUUGAAAAUAAUUAUAUAAGACAUAAUGGUAAAAUGACGAGAUGAAAGUUUGAAUGUGUAUUCAUAUUCAUGUUGAUAAACAUUAUGCAAUCGUUCCAUGUAUGUAUCACCAUUUUCUCUAUAUAUAAUACACCACAACAUAUAAUACAAGAGAUAACAAACUAGUUAAAUGUGUGAUGACACCCUUUAAUAGAUUAUCACGAUUAAUAUCUAUCAAUGAGACAUAUUAAUAUGGGUUCCAAUAAAAUUGUAUUUAUUCAAGAUAACAAAUAAUAUGGGUUGAAAGAUGAUAUUAAACAUCCACAAAAAUCCAAAAGAACCUACAAGCCAAGUUGUGUUUUACAUUAAUAAUUUAUCAAGUCUUGCUUUGAAAAUUUUAUACAAUGAUGUUUGAAUUUUUUUUUUUUUGAAAAAAAAAUUCUAAACUAAAAUUCUUUUAGAUAACCAAGUUAGAAAUUCUUUUGUUGAUCGAAUAAGUACUCAAUUUAUUUAUUCAAAUAGCUUUUUUUAUUUAAUUUUUUAACAACUACUUUUAAGUUAAGCUAAGCAAAUUUAUUUUCAAUAAAAAUUUCUUCACAAAUUUAUUCCUAAAAAGUGUAAAUUUAAUCCUCAUAUAACAUUUUUUUUUCUUGAGCUUUCUAUUUUUGAAUCAUCCCUACUAUGAAUCAUAGUCUAGCUCCUCUAAACACUACAUAAUAGUCAUAUAUUAAAAGACACUUCACAAAAACUCAAACUAUUAUUUUAUCAUAGAAAAAAAAUAUGAAAUAUCUUUUAAUAUUAAUUAUCAUUUGAAAUUACUAUACAAUAUAAGAAAACUCGUGCACAAUUUCCCAACAUCAUAGAAUUUGGAAAGCUUAGAUUUGAUCAAGAUUAGAAAAAUAAGCACUUAACUACAUUCAUUCAUAAAAGAAAAGUAAUCAUCAAACUAGAAAACUUAUCAUUGUAUACUAUAUUGUAAAAUGUUAUUCUCCACUUAUAUAAAUAACUUAAUUUCAAACAUAAAUGUGUAUUCUCAAUCAAUAUAUAUUCCAUACAAGCAUGAAACAAAUUCCUAAAAUCUCUAAAGAUCCAUAAUUUUUGUCCUAAAAUAGAAAAUAAACUCGAAUCAAAUGUCAAAAAUGUUAUCUAAUUCAUUAUAAAUUCAAGCCUAUUAAUAAUGAGAAUAUUUUAAAAAUUAUAAAUAUGUCAUUUAUUAUUUUGAACACACUUCGAUACUUACAUUCAAAUCAUUACAUAACAUUGUCCUACAAAUCAUAGUUGUUAUAUAUUAUCAAUUCAUUAAUUUGAAACAUACAUAAAUUCCCAAAAAUUUUAAAAUUUAGAAAACAAAGACUAUAGUACUUAUGAACUCAUUGACAACUAGUGGGUUGUGUUCUCUUUGUUAUUUUGAAGCUCUCUAUCUCUUAUCACUUUUCAAAAACUUAUUUUUUACUUCUUACUUGAAGAUUAGGCAUGAAGCAUUUUCAAAGAUGAAAGUACAACUAAAUCAAGAAGGGAAUAAGAAGUGAUGAAGGUUUUCCAGGGUUUUCAUUCUUUACCUCUAAAAGAGAAAGGAAAAUUUAGGUUUGAAUUAAGAGAGAGAUGAGAAGUGAGAGAGGUUUGUUACA
RNAcentral lists this long non-coding RNA (15805 nucleotides) under Vitis vinifera (wine grape). Its description in RNAcentral is "long non-coding RNA (VVIN_LNC007269)". The stretch from base 8029 to 8124 matches the Rfam family "MIR535 microRNA precursor family". The record is from RNAcentral. Lineage: Eukaryota; Viridiplantae; Streptophyta; Magnoliopsida; Vitales; Vitaceae.